This 516-nucleotide long non-coding RNA is filed under the name Carica papaya (papaya). RNAcentral's name for it is "long non-coding RNA (CPAP_LNC016402)". The record is from RNAcentral. Lineage: Eukaryota; Viridiplantae; Streptophyta; Magnoliopsida; Brassicales; Caricaceae.
UAAUUAAGCGCCCGCCAUUAAGUCCCCUAUAUCGUUGUGAGGAGUCCUAUAUUUGAUUAUUUAAAAGUUAAAGACUCUUUAAGCGCUUGAUCUAUUAUCGAGUUAUUAUUUAGAGAUCACCUGGACGUCACUGCAGUUUAGUAUAGUAGUAUAUACCCUUAUGAGAAGCUAUGUAAAGUGAAGUAAUUCGAUGAGAUUUAUAGACAUCUAUUUGUAUGAGAGUAAAAUAAUAUUAGAAAAGAAGGUUGUUACCCCUUAUUACGGUCUUACUGAAAUUACAAAAGUGUACAACACUACUAUAAGGAUUGCCCACCCAUUCAAGUAGGAAAUAAAUCAUGAACUCAAGAGAAGGUAUAUUAUCACCCAUUUGAGGAUUAUAAGCAAACCACAAUGAACUAGUUAAUGAUUCUGAAUAAACAAAAUAACUAGUUUUGAUUUUCUUGGGUAACGUCUUUGUCCAUCCUAUAAUUAUGAGUCAUAUCAAGUACUUUUUUGUAGUGUAAAUCUUUAUUCUAU